UCGCCUGUUUAUCAAAAACAUAGCUUAAAGUUAUUAAUUKUAMGYWACUCCUGCCCGGUGAAUUUUUUUUAACGGCCGCAGUACCCUGACUGUGCUAAGGUAGCAUAAUAAAUUGACUUUUAAUUGAAGUCUGGAAUAAAAGGAGCCACGGAAAAAAUCUGUCUCAUGACAAAUAAUUUUAAAUUACUUAAAAGGUGAAAAUACCUUUAAUAAAGAAAAUAGACGAGAAGACCCUAAGAAUUUUAAGGAAAAUACUUUUUAAGAACUAACUUUUUACUGGGGCGGUAAAGGAUCAAUUAAACAUCCUUAUUGAUUUUACUCCAAAUAUUAUUUUUUUUAAAAAAAUUACCUUAGGGAUAACAGCAUAAUUUUUUAUUAAGUUUGUGACCUCGAUGUUGGACUAGGAAAUUWUAAGAUUAGCCAUCAUAAAAAAUAGUUCUGUUCGAACUUUUKUCKCCUACAUGAUCUGAUUUCAGACCGKA
RNAcentral lists this ribosomal RNA (482 nucleotides) under Vaginulus taunaisii. RNAcentral describes it as "partial 16S ribosomal RNA". It matches the Rfam family "Archaeal large subunit ribosomal RNA", at positions 1891 to 2691 of the family's 2987-position model. Lineage: Eukaryota; Metazoa; Mollusca; Gastropoda; Systellommatophora; Veronicellidae. The record is from RNAcentral.